AUACUUACCUGGCAGGGGAGAUACCAUGAUCAAGAAGGUGGUUCACCCAGGGCGAGGUUCAGCCAUUGCACCUCGGCUGUGCUGACCUCUGCGAAUUCCCCAAAUGUGGGAAUCUCGACUGCAUAAUUUCUGGUAGUGGGGGACUGCGUUCGCGCUCUCCCCUG
Seriola dumerili (greater amberjack) is the source of this 164-nucleotide small nuclear RNA. Its record names the gene U1. It matches the Rfam family "U1 spliceosomal RNA". From Rfam's summary of the family: U1 is a small nuclear RNA (snRNA) component of the spliceosome (involved in pre-mRNA splicing). Its 5' end forms complementary base pairs with the 5' splice junction, thus defining the 5' donor site of an intron. NCBI's taxonomy places the organism in Eukaryota, Metazoa, Chordata, Actinopteri, Carangiformes, Carangidae. The record is from Ensembl.